Molecule: ribosomal RNA, 148 nt
Filed under: Ctenophora environmental sample
Lineage: Eukaryota; Metazoa; Ctenophora
Description: partial Trypanosomatid mitochondrial large subunit ribosomal RNA
Source: RNAcentral
CUGUACUAUCUGCGGAGGGCUUCCAUCGAUUUGGACUACAUUGAGAAGGAGAAGGGCACAACCAAGAUUACAGGCCCUUGGAAGCGAGCUAUCCUGUACGUUUUGGGGGGGGGAAAUGUUGGAAACGAACAUUACGACUCCAUCUUUG